GAACUCUGGUCAACUUUUCUCAAGAAGCUUCCACGACAUUAGGCAGAAAUGCCAAUCAUUUUGCAGAGUAAUGUUUUUACCUGGUCAUAUAAUAGAUUAUUAUUAUUUCGAGUACGCCGAAUCUAAUCAGGAAAUCUCUUCGUACAUGACUAAGUCGUGAAAUUGCAAAGGGUCCAAAUACACUUUGCUGAUUCAAGCGAUACCUCUUAAAAAGAACCGCCACUAGAGCAGUAGCUUCCAGAUUGGUUUUGUUAUGCUUUGACCUAAAAAAUGUCAUAAAGUAAUCUUAUUUGUCAAGUUUCCUGAGCUAUGUGCUGGCUGCACCAAUUACUAUUAAGACUCAUCUUUUAUUGUCUUCUAGGAGAAGUUGACAAAAAGUUAUCAGAAUUUCAAGUUUGAUGAGCCAAGAUAUCAUGCCUCAUAUUAUCUCUCUUUAAUAUUAAAUGACCAUUCAUGGCCUUGGGAGGAAGAUCUAGAAAUACUUGAGACCUUCAGCAUGAAGACUUUUCUCGGUUUGCACCUACAAUGCUCUCGAGAGCAUUCUUAGAGUGUUACAUAGCAGAGAAUAUAGAGCAUGAUGAAGCAGAGUCAAUUGUUCAUCAUGUUGAAGAUGUUUUAAUGGUUCUCAUCCUAUAUGCAAGCCUGUGCUCCAAUCCAGCUCAUGACAAGCAGACUCGUCACACUCGACGAGGGUGUAAGUUACGUCUACUCAACUGAAGACCUAAACUCAAAUGAUGAGAAUUCUGCAUUGCUUCACAUUAUUCAGCUUUUGGCUUUUAUUGCAUGGCAUGAAGCCUUCCACCAGCUCAGAACAGUUGAGCAACUUGGUUAUGUCUGUUUGGUCACACAUCGAGAUGACCUCGGUGUGCAUGGCCUGCAGUUCAUUGUUCUGUCUGCUGUGAAGGUAUACCACAAGGUUCUCUGUGUUUUGACUGCCUCAUCACCUUUAACUCCUUCACUUUGUUAAUCUUAACGGGGUCCAAGGUACAUCGACACACGGGUCCAGAGCUUUCUUGAGUCUUUCGAAAGUAAACUCCUUAAGAUGAGUGAGGUUGAUUUCAAGAGCCAUUUAAACACACUAAUUGAAUCAAAGAUGGAGAAGGACAAGAAUUUGUGGGAAGAAUCUGAGCGUCACUGGGAAGAGAUAACUAAUAGAACUUUCCUAUUUGAUCGAAUAGAAACUGAGGUUGCAACAUUAAGGAAGCUGGCAAAACAAGAAUUGAUAGCUUUCUUCAAUGAGCACAUACGAAUUGGAGCGCAGGAAGGUGCUUAGUGUACGAGUUUAUGGGAGCAAGCAUACAUCAAAUUUUGAAGUGGAUAACAAUGAAGCAAUUGGGCCAAACACAAUACGAAUAGAUAACAUUUUCAGCUUUAGGGCAUCGCAACCUCUUUACGGUUCACACAGAAGAGGGUAUGAACAUAUGGAAGUUCACAGCAGUUCUAAACAAGCUAGAAAUGGGUAUGAACAUAUGGAAGUUCACAGCAGUUCUAAACAAGCUAGAAAUGAGGAUCUUGGAUAAUGUACUCUUGAAACAUUUCUCCAAAAUCUAUACUACCACGCCACACUUGCCCUGUGGCAUUUGUACCUUAUAGCGUUUUAGUGUUUGGUGUGUGUAAAUGACAAAAGGUAUUACUUGGGAUUUUACUAGAUAACGGAACACAAGAAUAGGUGUUUGCUCCAGCUCAAUGUUCCUAACCGAGUGAGCAAAACUGUUGGUGUUGGAGUUAGGGUGUAAUGCAUAUACGGAUCUAUACCAUUGAGAGU
Eucalyptus grandis is the source of this 1765-nucleotide long non-coding RNA. RefSeq lists it as uncharacterized. NCBI's taxonomy places the organism in Eukaryota, Viridiplantae, Streptophyta, Magnoliopsida, Myrtales, Myrtaceae. The transcript is spliced from 6 exons. The record is from RefSeq and is a predicted model, not a curated record.